Molecule: long non-coding RNA, 7477 nt
Filed under: Populus trichocarpa (black cottonwood)
Lineage: Eukaryota; Viridiplantae; Streptophyta; Magnoliopsida; Malpighiales; Salicaceae
Description: long non-coding RNA (PTRI_LNC003894)
Source: RNAcentral
UUGUGCUCUUGAACCCCAUUCUAAUAUGAAGAAGUUAGAGAUAAGCGGAUAUCGAGGAUCCAAAUUUCCAGAUUGGAUGAUGGAGUUGCGUCUACCAAACCUAGUGGAGAUCUCACUAGAAUCGUGCAUGAAUUGUGAACAUCUUCCUCCUUUUGGGAAACUGCGGUUUCUUAAGCAUCUUCAAUUGAAGAGAAUGGACACUGUGAAGUGUAUUGGCAGUGAGAUGCAUGGAGAUGGAGAGAAUCCAUUUCCAUCAUUAGAGAGGCUGACUUUGGGUCCAAUGAUGAACUUAGAGGAGUGGGAAACAAAUAGCAUGGGUGGAAGGGAAAUUUUCACUUGCCUUGAUGAAUUACAGAUCAGAAAAUGCCCCAAGCUGGUCGAGUUACCAAUUAUUCCGUCGGUGAAAUAUUUAACGAUUGAGGACUGCGCUGUAACUUUGCUGAGGUCAGUUGUGAAUUUCACUUCUAUUACCUCCCUUCGAAUUGAGGGCUUCGAUGAAUUGGCAGUUCUUCCUGAUGGACUGUUGCAAAACCAUACGUGUCUUCAAUCCUUGACAUUUGGGAGUAUGGGAAGCCUUAGGUCGCUGUCAAAUCAGCUAAAUAACCUAUCUUCUCUAAAGAGUUUGGGUUUUUUGUUUUGUGAUAAACUUGAAAGCUUGCCAGAAGGUGUCCAGAACCUCAAUUCCUUGGAGAUGUUAGGUAUUUGUGCAAUGAUGCCAAAAAUGACUACACUGCCUGGUUUACCUUCGUCUCUUGCUGAGUUGCACAUUGUAGGUUGUCUAGAACUCACCUCUAUAUCCGAGGGGCUGCAACAUCUGACAGCACUCAAGGACUUGUAUCUUGCUGGAUGUGUGAAGUUAAAUUCCUUGCCAGAGAAUAUCCAACAUCUCACAUCCCUUUCAAGAUUGCGUAUCCAUGGAUGCUCUAAUUUGAUGUCUUUGCCAGAAGGCAUAAGGAAUCUCGAAAUGCUCAGAGAGUUCGAAAUUGCAGAUUGUCCAAAUUUGGAGAGACAGUGCAAGAGAGAAAAAGGAAAAGACUGGCCUAAGAUAGCUCACAUCCCUACCAUCAUCAUUAAUGCCCAGCUAAUACAGUCCUCGGAGACCUGAAGAAAAUAUGAUUGCUUGGUACGUGUUGUGACUUCAUUUGUCUAAUAUCCUCAUGUAAAAUCUGGAAUAUUUAUUCACCAAGUACUAAUAGCUGUGGUGAUCAAAUAAAAUGUAAAUUGUUUUAAUAUAUAUAUAUUCUUCUUAAAGGCGUUGAAAGCUCACCUACUCUGCUUGCUUGCCUGGGUUAGUCAGUGUUGUUUAGUUCUUCUUCUUUUCCAUAUAUAUCCUGCAGGCAUGAUUCGGAGCCUUUGCAAAUCUUUAGGCAUCGUUUUUGCUGCCUCUUUUUUGUAGCCUUCUCUGAAUCUUGCUCUCUGUUGUUUCAAUCCUCUCGCCUUUCUCGGAAAACCGGAGAUAGCAUUGGAAACAAAUCGCUAUAAGUCUACCGUUCUGUUGAAUUAGAGGUAGACAUACCAGAGGAAGCAAAGCCUGCAUCAGGUUGAAAGACAGAGAUGGCAACUGAAGAGAUCAAAGAAAAGCCAAAAUCAUGGGCCAUGGUUGGUGGAGAUGGACCUCAAAGCUAUACUCAAAAUUCCUCCUAUCAGGUGCAUAUUCUUCCCCUUGUAAUAAUAAUAAUAAUAAUAAUAGCAAUAAUAAAACACUUUGGCUUGUGACGCAAAAUAGCCUUUUUUUUUUUUUUGUACUUCGGUUUUUUUUUUAGUUUUAUUAUUUGAUGUUGAGUUGAUUUGAGUUUCAUGUUAAUAAUUUGUUUUUAUUUGUAUUUUAUAUGGUCAUUACAAUUUUUAAAAACUAUAUUGACAUCAUGAUAAUAUUCCAUUUCAUGAAAAAGGUAUAAUUUGGUUGUUUGUAAAUAAUUGAAUGCCGUUUAAAAAAAAAAUCAAUAUCAAGUAUCAACUCUAGUCUUUCUUUUUAGUUUUUAAUCAUCAAUUUUUUUUCUUUUCAAUUGGAUCCUUCAAAAUUGUGUUGAUUGGAAAAUAAGAUUAAUGGUUUGUUUUAGUUUAAAAAGUUCCUCGCAACUUUAAUUUUUUUUUUCUGCUCAUUUUUUUUUGGUGUAGCUCGCGCCAAAGCGUAAACAACCUAUCGAAUGCAUAUAAUGCAUCUGCUUAUUGCAACAGAAAGGAGUGGUAGAUGCUUCAAAGGAAAAGGUGACUGAAGGCAUCAAAGACAAGCUUGAUUUUAAAAGCCUUGGUUUUGACUCCUCGAAUGACACAUUUCGAAUAGCAGAUUUUGGUUGUUCUGUUGGACCCAAUACAUUUUUUGCUGUGGAAAACAUCAUAGAAGCUGUGGAGCAGAAAUAGCAAGCCCAGUUCCAAAAAUCCCCACCCUUGGAGUUGGAGUUCCAAGUAUUCUUCAACGAUGUCACAACCAAUGAUUUCAACACUCUCUUCAAAACCCUCCAUUCCAAUAGAAAAUACUUUGCUGCUGGAUUGCCCGGUACUUUCUACGGCCGCCUCCUCCCCAAGUCCACAUUGCAUUUCGCGUACUCUUCAUAUUGCUUACAGUGGCUCUCUAAGGUCCCAAAAGAAGUUGUAGACAACAAGUCUCCUGCAUGGAACAAUGGCAGCAUCCAAUGUGAUGGUCUCAAAAAAGAAGUCACCAAGGCAUAUUCAGCUCAGUUCCAGAGUGACAUGAACACCUUUUUGAAUGCUAGAGCACAAGAAAUUGUGGGUGGAGGAUUGAUGGUGAUUAUAAUGGCCGGUCUUCCUGAUGGGAUCUUUAUGUCUCAGGCAGGAGUUGGAAUGUACUAUGAACUUCUCGGAUCAUGCCUCGUCGACAUGGCUAAAUUGGUAAAAUAAUUCUCUCUCUAACUGAUUAGAAGCAAAAUCCUAGUAAGUAUACUCUUUGACAUAUGCAGAUCGUUCUUCUUUGUAGGGAGAGAUUAGUGAAGAAAAGGUGAACUCGUUCAACUUGCCUCUGUACUAUUCUUCUUCUACGGAGAUUGAAGAAAUCAUAAAAGUAAACGAGAAUUUUAGUAUUGAGAUAAUGCACUCAUUGAGUCAUCAGAUUUGGCAAACGUCGAAGAAAUCCAAUAUCGAAGUUUCUGUUUCAGGGGGCAGAGCUGUUUUUCAGGGUCUUCUGGAAGAGCACUUUGCAAGUGAAGUUGUAGAAAAAAUAUUUGAGCAUUUUGCUAAGAAGCUUUGUGACAAUUUCUCUAUCUUCGAUGGCGCAGCCCAUGAACACAUCGACCAUUUCAUCCUGCUCAAGCGUAACGUUAAUUGAAAUCACUCACAGUUAUGUGCUCGCUAUUCCCUUAGUUUGGAAUUUGGAUUCCAUUGUUAUCAAAUAAUGAAGUGUGCAUCUCAUGCUGGAGAUGUUGAACUUCAGAUCAAAUAAUUUGGAUUCCAUUUCUAUGCUAUUUCGAUCUCAUUUAUUUGCUUCAAUUCCUUCUUUCAGAAGGUUAGAACUAAUAUCACGGCUUCACUUUUUGGAAAAGCUUAUGCACUAAACUUUCUCUCAAGGUUCAUGUUCAUUAUAUCAAAUUUGAAACUAUAGAACUGCGAAGACAACGAUAAAAUAUGUGUGUCUGGAUGGAGUGAUAAAUAUUAUAAAUUAAUGAAUUUGAAAGCCAAAACCACUCAUUAGGAAAGAAGACUAAAACUAAUUUAAGAACUUUCAAAUUAUAAAGGCAAAAUGUUUUAGUAUGCUUUCAGGGAGUCUCGAACAAGGAAACUAUAAGAUGCAGCAUGUGUAGAAAAAAAUCUGAUGCUUUUAUAUAUAUAUAUUAAGAUCACAAAUUAUAAUGGUGUUUAGAUAUUUUUAAUUAAUUCGUUUUUUUUAUGAUAUUAGAUAUUUUUAUUAAUAUGAUUAGCUAAAAGUUGUUCUUAUUAUAAACUAAAAGAAUGUCAGAAGAUAUUCUUGUCUCUAGAAUACAAUAAAGGUUCAUUUAUAUAUUUAAUUAAUUUAGUUCAUGCGUUUGUAUUAUACAGUUACUAGUUGUAGGGUGCGUUCCGUUGUGGGCGGCACCUCUAAUUGUUUUUUGCACUAAAAAAAAUUCAAGUCAUGAGAAUUUUUUUUAGUGGUCAUUGGGUUAGUAUCGAAAUCUCCUAACCUGUUUUCUUGUUUAUAUUCAAUUAAAUAAAAUGAAAGUAAAAUUUUUAUUCUUAUAUUUAAUUUAAUUAAAAAAUAAAGUAUCUAUAUAAAAAAAUAAAUUUAAUAAAAAACAACAAAUUAAAAAAAUUCACAAUAACCCAUAUUAUUUUCAAAAUCAGCAAAAAAUCUUAUAGGAAACAAAUGAAAAAAAUUAAUCGAGCCCAAUUUUCAAUAAAUAAAUUUGAAAGAUGAAACUGAAAAAAACAUGAGUUAAAAAAAAUCAUGGAGUAAGUAUCUCAUAUUUAUAUUAAUUAAUUAAUUUAAAUUAAUUAUAAAAUAUAUCUUUUAAAAAAGUUAAAUUUAAUAAAGAAUGGUAAAUAAAAAGAUCUAAGAUAACAUGAGUUAUUUUUAAAAUUAGUAAAAAAUCCUAUAAGAAGUAAGUAAAAAUAUUAAUGGAGUUCAAUCUAUAAUUAAAUAAAUAAUUUAAAACUAAAUUAUCACUAGAAUAGGACCACUAAAAGAAAAAAAAAUUAUUCAACUAAAUUAUUCUAAUUGAAUAAAUAAUCUAAGAAUGGGCCAUAGAAGCCUCAUUGUUCUAAGAGGUUGGAUACUUGACCAAAUAGGCCCACUAAAACCCAUUAACAGAUUCAUUAGAGCCACCAAAGAAUAAAUAACUCCUUAAGGUCCACAAAAAGACAGUGAAAUGGCUGGCAGCAGCAGCCAUCAUCAAUAAUUCACAUACGUAGUCUACUUGCCUACGGGUUUUUUCACAAACAAGGAUCUCUCCCUCCCUCCCUGGCUUAGCUCUCUCCCCUGUCCUCUCUUCACCACCAUUUCUUGCUGUACUUCCAUUUCCUACUUGCUUCUUUUUGCUUAUUAAGACCCACAAUUUAAAUUUCCGGCAAAAAGAAAACAAAAAAAAGCUAUGGCUGAGGCAACUAUUUCUGCACUUGUUAGCACCGUCUUGGGGAACUUGAACACACUUGUACUUGAAGAGCUUGGACUUGUUUUUGGCAUCCAGACCGAGUUUGAGAAACUCAAGCGCACCUUCAUGACGGUUCAAGCUGUCCUCAAGGAUGCUGAGGAGAAGCAGUGGAAAGAUGAGGCAAUCAGGAUUUGGCUGACAGACCUCAAAGAUGCUGCCUAUGAUGCUGAUGAUGUGCUGGAUGAGUUCGCUAUUGAAGCUCAGAGGCGCAGACAGCGAGGGGGUCUUAAAAACCGAGUAAGGUCUUUGUUUUCUCUUCAUCAGAAUCCACUUGUUUUUCGAUUGAAAAUGGCUCAUAAGGUAAAGAAUGUAAGAGAAAAGCUUGAUUCCAUUGCCAAUGAGAAAAAUAAGUUCAGACUAACAGAGGGAGUUGGAGAGAACGAAGCUGAUAGCUUCGAUUGGCGGAUAACUUGCUCGCUUGUUAACGAAUCAGAAAUCUAUGGAAGAGACAAGGAAAAAGAAGAGCUGAUCAGUUUGUUGCUCGCCAAUUCAGAUGACCUCUCUGUCUGUGCAGUAUGUGGCAUGGGGGGGCUGGGGAAGACAGCACUUGCUCAAUUUGUCUACAACGAUGCAAGUGUAAAAGGGCAUUUUGAUUUGAGUAUCUGGGUUUGCGUAUCUGUUGAUUUCGACAUAAGGAGACUAUCAAGAGCUAUCAUAGAGUCCAUUGAAGGCAACCCUUGUACCAUUCAAGAGAUGGACACUUUGCAACGACGCCUCCAAGAAAAGUUGAUUGGAAGGAGGUUUUUGCUUGUGUUGGAUGAUGUUUGGGAUCAUUACCAUGAAAAAUGGAAUGCAUUGAAAGAUGCUUUGAGAGUUGGAGCUAGAGGAUGUGCUAUUCUAAUAACAACUCGUCUAAAGCAGGUUGCUGAUAAAAUGGCUACUAUUCCUGUUCACCUAAUGGGAAGAUUGUCGGAAGAUGAUUCUUGGCUUCUGUUUGAGCGACUUGCAUUUGGGAUGAGAAGAAGGGAGGAUUAUGUGCACUUAGAAAGUAUUGGAAAGGCGAUAGUCAAUAAGUGCAGUGGCGUUCCUUUAGCUCUAAAGGCAUUGGGGAGCUUGAUGCGCUUCAAGAGAAAUGAACGAGAGUGGUUAUCUGUCAAAGAAAGUGAGAUUUGGAAUCUACCAGACGAAGGUGGCACAAUUUUACCUGCCUUGAAGUUAAGUUAUAACAAUUUGCCACCACAUUUGAAACAAUGCUUUGGAUUUUGCUGUAUGUUUCCGAAGGAUUAUGUCAUGAAGAAAGACGAGUUAGUAAAGCUAUGGAUGGCCAAUGGAUUUAUUGAUCCUGCAGGGCAAAUGGAUUUGCAUGAGACAGGUUACGAGAUUUUUGAUGACUUGGUUGGGAGAUCAUUUUUUCAGGAGUUCAAGGAGGAUGGCUUCGGAAACAUAACUUGCAAAAUGCAUGAUCUUAUCCAUGAUCUUGCAAAAUCAGUUAUGAUAGAAGAAUGCUAUUUGAUCGAGAAGAAUAGGAGACCUAGAAUUCCUAAGACAGUUCGUCACAUGACUUUUCUUGGUAGAAGUCUUUGUUAUUAUGACAAGGACCUUGUCAAAGUGCAAUCAUUGCGGUCUCUGAUAUCCAUUCAGGUCGAUUAUUACCGGCGUGGUGCUCUUUUAUUCAAGGUGUCUUCACAAAAGAAACUACGGACGUUGAGUUUAAGCAAUUUCUGGUUUGUGAAAUUUCCGGAGCCGAUUGGUAAUUUGCAACAUCUAAGAUAUCUAGACGUCUCUUGUUCUCUUAUCCAAAAACUGCCUGAAUCAAUCAGCUCUCUUCAAAACUUGCAGACCCUAAAUUUGAGUUACUGCCCUCUGCUUUAUAUGCUUCCAAAAAGGAUGAAGGACAUGAAAAGUCUCAUGUAUCUUGACCUCACACGUUGUGAUGCGCUUCAAUGUAUGCCUUCAGGGAUGGGACAACUGGCUUGUCUGCGAAAGCUAGGUAUGUUCAUUGUGGGUAAAGAGGCUGGUCAUCACAUAGGGGAGCUGCAAAGACUGAAUUACAUUGGGGGUGAUUUGAGCAUCAAGGAUUUAGGUAACGUCCAAGGUUUUACAGAUGCACAAAAUGCUAAUUUGAUGAGGAAGACAAAUCUUCAAUCACUGAGUUUGUCUUGGCGAGAAGACAAAAACAGCAUAAUCAGUGAGGCAAACAGUGAAGAUGUUCUUUGUGCUCUUGAACCCCAUUCUCAUAUGAAGAAGUUAGAGAUAAGCGGAUAUCGAGGAUCCAAAUUUCCAGAUUGGAUGAUGGAGUUGCGUCUACCAAACCUAGUGGAGAUCUCACUAGAAUCGUGCAUGAAUUGUGAACAUCUUCCUCCUUUUGGGAAACUGCGGUUUCUUAAGCAUCUUCAAUUGAAGAGAAUGGACACUGUGAAGUGUAUUGGCAGUGAGAUGUAUGGAGAGGGAGAGAAUCC